UAGUCCUAAUCCCUGCGAAAACAGAAUUUGAUUAACUUUAUUAUCUCCGGUGAUAUUCAAGGGGUAUAUAUUCGUGGGACAGCCUGUAAGAGCUUAUGGAGAUUACUCACGACACGCCAAAAACGAUUUAAAUAAUUUAGAUAAAAUAAAUAUAAAAAAAGACGGACAUACUUCGCACGUAGUUGCAGUCACUGUUAUAGAUAGGAAAUAGGGAAGGUAGGAUACAGACGGGAAUUUAAUGUAUACGUGUAAGCAACGCUGAAUC
Cinara cedri is the source of this 265-nucleotide non-coding RNA. The record is from the annotation of a GenBank genome assembly. NCBI's taxonomy places the organism in Eukaryota, Metazoa, Arthropoda, Insecta, Hemiptera, Aphididae.